This 429-nucleotide ribosomal RNA is filed under the name uncultured bacterium. Its description in RNAcentral is "bacterial SSU rRNA". It matches the Rfam family "Bacterial small subunit ribosomal RNA", at positions 355 to 776 of the family's 1533-position model. The record is from RNAcentral.
UGGGGAAUUUUGCGCAAUGGGCGAAAGCCUGACGCAGCAACGCCGCGUGGAGGAUGAAGGUCUUUGGAUUGUAAACUCCUGUCAGCAGGGAAAAAGCGACUCGACCUCAUACGUCGGGGAGUUGAUUGUACCUGCAGAGGAAGCCCCGGCUAACUCUGUGCCAGCAGCCGCGGUAAUACAGAGGGGGCAAGCGUUAUUCGGAAUUAUUGGGCGUAAAGGGCGCGUAGGCGGCUUUGCAAGUGACGGGUGAAAGCCCUCGGCUUAACCGAGGAACUGCCUGUCAGACUGUGAGGCUUGAGACCGGGAGAGGUGAGUGGAAUUCCCAGUGUAGCGGUGAAAUGCGUAGAUAUUGGGAGGAACACCAGUGGCGAAGGCGGCUCACUGGACCGGAACUGACGCUGAGGCGCGAAAGCGUGGGGAGCAAACAGG